GCUGGACUUCCUAAAAGAGCAGAAAAGGACUAGUAAUUAUCAGUCCACGUUGCCAUCUCUAGAAUACUGGAUUCAAAAGGGUCAUUUAGAGAGUCAUUAAGUGGAGGCUCCAAAAUAUGGCGAGAUUGCUUUGAAUACCUUCAAAGGGCAAGUGAGAGGGGCUCCCAGAAUAUAGGAAAGUAGUCUGUCAUUCUCCUUCCAGACUGAAAGUUUGCAGAGGAACAGGAGUAUAAGAUCCAUGCAGCAGGCAAGGUGUGAUUCUUAGCUAUUUAUAGGUGCUGCAUAAGUAUUUGUUGAGUGAAUAGAUGAGUGCUUGUACUGGAGAAAAGGAGAGAGGUUGGCUUGGGCAGCACAGAAUGGUAGGACAAGAGAAGGGGUACAGUGACUGCAACCUGUCCUUCCAUCAUCAGCAUGGCAAAGGCAUUUCCUGUGGGCCAGACUGACCAUGGUAGCUGGGUUUGAGUUGUCACAAUAGGACCUCAACCAACAAGGCAGCCUAUUGUGCAGAGAUAUU
Molecule: long non-coding RNA, 514 nt
Filed under: Marmota monax (woodchuck)
Lineage: Eukaryota; Metazoa; Chordata; Mammalia; Rodentia; Sciuridae
Source: RNAcentral